Lolium rigidum is the source of this 429-nucleotide long non-coding RNA. RefSeq lists it as uncharacterized. Lineage: Eukaryota; Viridiplantae; Streptophyta; Magnoliopsida; Poales; Poaceae. The record is from RefSeq and is a predicted model, not a curated record. The transcript has 3 exons.
UGAUGCAAACCAGACGGGAGAUGAGUGCACCAGCCAAGCCGGAGCGUCGACUCUGCGAGUUCUAGAAGCAGUGGAGGUGCCGGAUUUCGCUGAGGUAGCGGAAGUUCCGAUGCCUUGACUCCAGAUGCCGCUACCCCUCUCUCCGAUUCGCCGCCAUCGCCGGGGUCAUAGAACAACAGGUAGCUUGGUAAACAAAAUUUAUGUUCUGAAUAGCAUCAAGAUGGCACUUUUGGAGCAGAAUAAUAUCAGAUGCAGCAUAGAUCAGAGCAUAAUAAUCGUAUAUGGUAUAUGGCUUCCCAAUGGAGGGCAUGCAAUAUCGAAGCAGAAGAGUUGGAGACGGACAUUCCACCUGUUAUCUCUUCCGAAGCGCCGGCAUCACCGCAUACAUUGGAGAAUAGGUCAUACGAUAACCAGGAGGAACAACUGAUG